AGCAAGUGGGUGCCCCCAGCCCCUCCUUUGUUCCCAUGGCCGGCCACCUCUGCUGCUUCCAUGGUGAUCUCUAAAUCCCUUUGUUGUUUUACUAGUUCUUGUUAAUACCCUGCUGAUGUGAGGUUUUAUGUGUGUUGAUGUGUGCGAUAUGGAGUAAAAUCCUUGGAGAAUUAGGUGGAGAAGAAGGUUAAGUUCAACACUCCUUAGGUGUUCGAUGAUAUGCUCGAACUGGUGGCCGUCUUCGUUCUUGCUGAAAUCGAGUCGGAGCAUGAUGUGGUGAGCCAAGUCGUUUCUCCGACUACUUAGCUAAUGAAUGAUUUGGUUAUAUAAUUAUUGCUGUAAUGGUAUUUGAUGUAUGAUGAAAUAAUUUAGUUGUGUGCCAUGAAUUUUUUUUGACGUCAUGAUUGGAUAGUAGAAGUGUUGUUUGAGGGGAAGUUUAGGUAUUAGGUGCAGAUUUUACGAGGAGUGCUUUAGAGAGUACAUAUGUCAAGUAUAAUUAAAUGAAUGUUAUAAAACACAGAGGAUGGUUCUGUUUAGGCAAGGAAUGCUUUGAUUGAUGCGUUGGUAAGCUGUGGUUAACCAAAAUGGGAACUAAAUUGAAUUUUUGCUGUUUGGACUGUGCACAGUUUUAGUAUGCAGGUAGCUAAGUGAAGUAAACUUUGUUUUCUGAAGAGAUGAUAUGCAUAUAAGUUGUAGCUAACUUCUUUAUCCUGGUUGUGUAAAAAAUUUUAUGACCAUAGGUUUAGUAGUUUAGGAGUUAUGAUUUUUCAAAGUCCAGUUUCAGAAUCUGCCCAGAUUCUGUACUGAUUUCGAAAAUGACCCUGUUUGCCCAAAUUAAACUUAGAAUCAGCUCUUAGCUCUUAGUAAUUAUAGGAGAAUUGUAGUACUUUUCUAAAGCUUUCCAACAAAUUUUGGAGCACUUUUUUUUGUGGUCUAGAGACCAAGUUACAGCUGUUUGAACUAUAUAGUCUGAAUCUGUCCAAAUCUGGACAGAGAAGUCUGUUUGUAUUAACUGACUUUGAUAUGUAUUGAAUUAACAUGAGAUGUUUAUAAAUGAAUUAUAGACAAUUCUACUAGCUUUCAAAAAAAGUCUAGGAUCACCUGAUUUGGAUAUCUGAAACUCCCGUUAUGGAAUUUUAAAGUGAGUGGCCGAAUUCUGUCCAAAUCUGGAUAGAAAUUGUGUUUAGUACAGUUUGACCUUUCUAAAGGUCGAAUCUUGUUAUGAUGAUAAUACAAAAGUUAUAUAGAACUUUAUAAGCUUUUCAGAAAGUCCUAGUUUACUAUUUUUGGAUGCAUAUUUUGUGAGUUACGAACAAAACAUUUGACUACUGUGCUGCUGUCUAGAAAAAAUCUGCGCGUGGUAAAUUGAUUGUUUGGGGUCAUUCUUGUUUGGCUUGAUAGAAUUAGUUAAAUUUUGAUUAUUGAAGACUGGUUGAAUAUAGUGGUGAUAGUAAUCCAUGCUAUGCUUUAGUAGUAUUAUAUUCUUUAUUAAUGACCGGUUAAAUACCUUAGAUAAAUAUUUAUUAGUGCAAUAUAAUUCAUCUUCAUGUGGGUAUAUAUAUUCCUUGUUGAAUUCGAAUGUAAACUAGAAUGGGUUACGACUUCUGGUAUAUCUCCGUAUUAUUUCUAAACCAGUAUAUUCAUAUAUUCAUCUUGUUAGAUAGUACACUCAGAUUUUAGACAAUAAUAUAUUAAUCUCUAAUGUACCAUUUAAGUUUAGAAGGCUAGCUGUAAUGCUUCUGUCCUUAUUCUAAGAUAGGUUCUAUCAGUAUUGUUAUACUUCUUUGAUUUAUUUGAACACGAUAAUGCUUUACUAGUAGUCUUUAUACUAAAUGUUUAGUGAACGAUUAGAUACCUUGAUUUGAUGUUGCUUGCUACCCUGAGUGUCUAAAAACGAGUAGUAUCAAUAAGCCGAUUAAAACUGAAACAUGAGAAUUUUGUGAUGGUUAGUGCACAUAAGUGCUUUAAAUCUUCAAAUUUGUUGAGCCUAUUGUUUUAUAGAAUACUAGGCUAUUGGACAAUAUUUUGGGUGUAGAGUUAGAGGUGUCUAGUGUUUAUGCAUACAAGUGUUUUAGGCCUUUAAGUUAAGAUAAUUUUUAUUCCAUGGAAUUCUAUGCUUGUUAAUAAUGAGUUGUUCAUUAAUACUAAGAGUCGUGUUAAUCCUUCGAUAGGAUACUCUAGUUCAUGAGAUUAAGAUUUAUGUGCAGCCUUUUGAGGCUUGAUGCUUGAGUUAAAGAAGCAAGAUUAUGGUGUUUAGCCAUUUAUCGAUGUCUAGCGUUUACUUAUGGGUGUUGUAUGCGCCUCACCAUUAAGUGUUUAGCUUUCUACUGUAGCAUUGUUUAUCUUGUGCUACCUGCUCAUAAUCAUUCAUGUGCAUUAUGCAUAUCAUUCAGGUUCGUUACACGUGAUGCGAAGGACAAGAGCCGAGUUGAUCCCAAAAUGAUGCUAGUGAACGAACCUAAGGAUGGAUGAUCUGAUAGAGUGCCAGAAUGGGAGAUGCUCACCAAGUGGUCGUCAAUUAACAACACUAACUUAGUGUUAUCCCAG
RNAcentral lists this long non-coding RNA (2547 nucleotides) under Zea mays. Its description in RNAcentral is "long non-coding RNA (ZMAY_LNC003784)". Lineage: Eukaryota; Viridiplantae; Streptophyta; Magnoliopsida; Poales; Poaceae. The record is from RNAcentral.